AUUGAACGCUGGCGGCAUGCUUUACACAUGCAAGUCGAACGGCAGCGCGGGCUUCGGCCUGGCGGCGAGUGGCGAACGGGUGAGUAAUACAUCGGAACGUGCCCAGUAGUGGGGGAUAGCUCGGCGAAAGCCGGAUUAAUACCGCAUACGACCUGAGGGUGAAAGCGGGGGAUCUUCGGACCUCGCGCUAUUGGAGCGGCCGAUGGCGGAUUAGCUAGUUGGUGGGGUAAAGGCCUACCAAGGCGACGAUCCGUAGCUGGUCUGAGAGGAUGACCAGCCACACUGGAACUGAGACACGGCCCAGACUCCUACGGGAGGCAGCAGUGGGGAAUUUUGGACAAUGGGCGAAAGCCUGAUCCAGCAAUGCCGCGUGUGUGAUGAAGGCCUUCGGGUUGUAAAGCACUUUUGGCGGGAACGAAAAGGACUGUGCCAAUACCACGGUUCGAUGACGGUACCCGCAGAAUAAGCACCGGCUAACUACGUG
RNAcentral lists this ribosomal RNA (484 nucleotides) under uncultured bacterium. RNAcentral describes it as "partial 16S ribosomal RNA". It matches the Rfam family "Bacterial small subunit ribosomal RNA", at positions 29 to 507 of the family's 1533-position model. The record is from RNAcentral.